Oncorhynchus kisutch (coho salmon) is the source of this 3706-nucleotide RNA transcript. It is a transcript of the gene named neurogenic differentiation factor 2-like, with no coding region annotated. The transcript has 5 exons. The record is from RefSeq and is a predicted model, not a curated record. NCBI's taxonomy places the organism in Eukaryota, Metazoa, Chordata, Actinopteri, Salmoniformes, Salmonidae.
CUCUUCCCUCCAGAAGGCAGUCUCUGUGAAUGCGGGCGCAUGUCAAUCACCCGCGCUCAUGUCAUGACUCUUGCCAAUGAUGUGUCAGCCAUAUGGCCUUGCAUCAUAGCUUGUAUGUAACCCACCCAGCCCUGGUAGAGUAUACCGCACUACUGUAUCUGCGUAUUUGGAGUAGGGAUAGCACAGCGAAAAAGCAGCGAGCUUGACUUCAGCCGCACCAAUUGAAGUGUCCAUGCAGGAGCGGUGUGGACUUGGACUGGCCACCCGGAGAUGGUCUAAACAAACGCGCUUUCGCCUCUCACCCAGCUCCAAGACGGCGUGCCACCAUGUUGACAAGGCUAUUCAGCGAGGUUCUGCCGGAUGUCCAGAAGCUCUCGGGUUGGGUGGAGAACAGCGUGGGCGAGGACUCCAAAACCAAGGAGGAAGACAUGGGUCCCCUGCAAGACGACGACUUGGAUGACGGCGACGCCAGAGAGGGAAGCAGCCGGGAUCAGUCCGAGAUGGCUGGGGAUGACGUCAACGAUGAGGACUGUGGUGAUGAGAACGAGGGGGAAGACACAACCGAAAAGCCCGGGCCAAAGAAACGCAAGAUGACGCCAGCACGAAUUGAGCGCUCCAAGGUGCGGCGUCAAAAAGCCAACGCACGAGAGAGAACGCGUAUGCACGAUUUGAACUCUGCGCUGGACAAUUUGCGCAAAGUAGUCCCCUGUUAUUCCAAAACGCAAAAACUCUCAAAGAUAGAGACGCUGAGACUGGCCAAGAAUUACAUUUGGGCGCUCGGGGAGAUCUUGCGCAAUGGGAAAAGGCCAGAUGUCGUAUCCUACGUGCAGACACUGUGCAAGGGCCUGUCCCAGCCCACCACAAAUCUCGUAGCUGGUUGUCUGCAGCUCAACUCUCGGAACUUCUUGACAGAGCAGUGUCCUGACGGGGCCCGGUUUCAUGUCCCCAACUCCUCUUUCUCCGUGCACCCUUACUCCUACCAGUGUCCCCGUCUGUCUAGCCCUCAGUGCCAACCCGGCUCCAGUCGGCAUAUGAGGACCCAUAACUACGGCUACGGCGACGCGGUCUACCCAGGGGCAAUCUCCCCAGAGUACGACAGCCCAGACUAUGGGGGCCAUCACAGCUCGCCUGUGUGCGUCAACGGCAACUUUUCUGUGAGUCAACAGGAGUGUGGGUCGCCGGACAGAGACAUGAACUAUCACUAUGCUAUGCACUACUCUGGACUGUCUGCUUCGCGCGCCACUGCAGUCCACGGACUAGCGUUCGGCACAUCGGGAGCGCGCAGCGGUUCCGCGCACUCUGAAAACGUGCCGCCGCCAUUUCAUGACAUGCACUUAUUGCACCAUGACAGGACGCCCGUGUACGAGGAACUUAACGUCCUUUACCACAACUGAAUUCACCAAAACCCUAACAACCCACCGGACCCCUAAAUACCCAACUAAAAAUCGUAACGUUAGGCUAUUAUAGCCUAUCCAUUUUGACACUGGAUGAGGUUUUUAGAAAACGGAAGGUGGGGUGGCAGGAAUUGAGAGAGAAAUACCAAUAUUCUCAAUGUUGGUUCUCUGUUUUAUUGAUGUCGUUCCUGAAUUGUCGUUGUGCACAUUUGAAGUCCCUGUCUUAUCCUGGACAGUUAAGUGAAGAGUUUAGGUGCUGUAAUAGAGAAAUGUAGCAACCUCCACAAACAGGCUGGUAUAUUGGGGCAGCCUGUUCUGUACUCUGUAUUUCAGACGAAAUCAAGACCAUGUGUAAGGCUCUCUAUGGAUCUACAAAAAGGUAUCCCAAUACCCGGCAAAACAUGGGUGUGUGUAUACACUCUUUCAAAAGUACUCCUCGUUGAGAGACCAGACAUUGAAGGGAUGUAUAAGAAUUCUUCAAAUUUACUCCUCAUAUUAAUUCACACACUAAAACUUUUUACACCACUGUGCCUACCCAGACCAUGAUGCUGGCUUGGAUAUUUUGUUCUUACAUUGUUUAUUCCGUCACAUUUCCAGCAGCUUAACAAGACCAUCAUCACUGUAAAAAAUGACCCACGGGCUUAGUAAAUAUUGCAAAAGAAAAUCAAUGAUUUUUACUUCAAAUAAAAGGUUUCUGGUUUUAUUUCACAUUCUUUUAUAUAGUACUUAAUUCAUGUGUUGAAAAUCCAAGGUAAUAUGCUGCUAAAUUUGAACAAAUAUUUCUAAGUAACAAUCAACAAUUUAAAAAUAUAUUCAAAUUAUCAUUGUUGGACUGACAUGCUAGUGUAACCAGUGUGAAAUGGCCAGCGAGUUAGCGGGGUGCCAGCUAUUUCGAGUUUCAAUCGGUGAUGUCACUCGCUCUGAGACCUUGAAGUACUGUAGUUGUUCCCCUUGCGCUGCAAGGGCUGUGGCUUUUGUUGAGCGAUAGGUAACGAUGCUUCGAGGGUGUCAGUUGUUGACGUGUGCAGAGGGUCCCUGGUUCGAGCCCAGGUAGGGGCAAGGAGAGGGACAGAAGCAAAACUGUUACAUUGAUCCUGUUGACCCGGAUCACUGGUUGCUGCAGAAAAGGAGGACUCAAACAAGGUUCCGAAGGUACAGUCACUGUACCUACACAGGGCACACCCUUUAAUUUGUCCAUUUUCAUCUCACAUGUUUUUAGAUUAAUUUUUCAAACUUAAACAUUUCAAUAGCUCCCUAGUCGUGUGACCUACUGACUUCAAACAAGGUCCAGAAUGUCCAAUCAGUGGGCCUACACAUUGCACAUCCUUAAGUUUGUCCUUUAGUUUGUCCAGUUUACCUUUUUCUUUCAUAUUUAUCUACAAUAAUUGGUAGUUCUAAGUACUUAUUUAUCAUGUUUUUUAUUUUUCCACGUUCUUUAACAGCGGUACACAAUAGGAGAGAGACAGAAUAUCUCCUUUCGUCGUUAAUAUCAACCAAACAGGAAAAGGGCAGAGUGCGAGAGUCAUGCUAUUAAUUGUCCAAAGCAGGGAUGGAGAGUGAGCUAGUAAGGUGGGCUGCAGUGGGUUUGCUGGUCAAUACAUAUACUGAACAUGUAACCAUAGUAAUGGUGGCCAGUAAAUCAAUGAAUAAAAAUGGAAUAUUGACAAAUUAAACAGAAAUUGUAGACCUUUCAUCUUUUCCAACAUGUCAACAGACACAACAUUUCACCGUGUUAACUUUCUCUUUAUCCCUGGUUGAUGUACAUGUCAGAGCCUCUUCAGUGUGGAUGGGGUAUAGCAUACAUUUUCAACAACAAAGAGUGCACUUCCAGUUUGUGUUCUUUACUCUGUUGAACUCUUGUCUUCAUUCCUAGGCACAGCACAUGGAACCCCUGUUAGCAAAACAAAGCAUAACACAUUAUAUAUAAUAUGAAAUAUCAAUGCAGUAUGACGAAUUAGCCAUCCAUUGUGUUAUAUCAUAAAUUGUCUUCCAUGCCGUCACUGUUGUCAAAAGAUUAUAAACAUGUUAAAUAAAGUUACUAACCCAGUCAGUCUUUGGGCCACAUCCAGGUUCUUUAUCAGUGACAAAAAUGAAGCAGUUGUUGGCUUUGUUGACCUCUGAAAUCAUAGGCAUGAACUGAACAUAUGGCUGUCCCACACAACUACAUCAACAUAAAGAAUUUACAUUUACUUUGAAUUAAAUGUCAUUACCAGACACGUUUUGUAUAAAAAAUAUAAAAGUAGCAUAUAGUAUCCAACCCUAUCACAGAGUGAAUAAAUGUAGAGCGUUUAGACUUUAAGAAAAAAUAUUAA